AUGCUUCCAUAAUACUUUUCUUUGUGAGAAGAUUCUGCAGAAUUUCAAUGUUUUGGCAUUGUUUCAUGGUUGUUUAGUAACGUCUCAGGCUUAUUGUAGUUGCUGGGGUGUUACAUGUAUUUCUAAGGUUCUUUUGAGAAAUGUAAGUCCACAUUUCUGGACUUUCAUGUACUCCUGCUAUACUAUCCAUUUGAAUUGCUCUGAGAUUUGUGCAAUAGAAAUGACAAUUAUUCAAAGUUGGGAUGUAAACAAUAUUGCUAUUGUUGGUGCUGGGCUCGUCCUGAUCACUAGGAGACUCUGAUCAAGCUAGGCCUAACCUUAUGUAUUAGUGUCUCCUGAUGAUCGGGACAAGGCUAACACCGAUGAGAGCGAUCUCACCUUUAUCCCUGUUUCAGACCCUUAUCCUAUCCAUGAAUCAAUGUCCAUAACAUAUAAGAUUGUGAAUUUGGAAGGUAUAUUCAUUUAGAAUUUUUAGAACAUAUGUGAGGUUUGAAUCUAUGUAAAGGAGCGGUUACCCCUAAUGCUGGGAAUUCAACAUCCUCGGCAUGAGGUUUUGUUUAUUUAAUUUCUUUUGAGUUAGUUUUUUCCAUUAUUAUCAAUUUUGAAUCUUUUGAUGUAGUUU
This 622-nucleotide non-coding RNA is filed under the name Oryza rufipogon (brownbeard rice). Lineage: Eukaryota; Viridiplantae; Streptophyta; Magnoliopsida; Poales; Poaceae. The record is from RNAcentral.